AUCCCAUGAUGAGGACAGGCGGCCACGUAUUCCUGAAUUUGUUCCCAUGCUUUAGGAAUGGACUCGUCCCUUGUCUGCUGGAAACUUGGAAUUCUUUCAUGAAGGGC
Oryza nivara is the source of this 107-nucleotide non-coding RNA. NCBI's taxonomy places the organism in Eukaryota, Viridiplantae, Streptophyta, Magnoliopsida, Poales, Poaceae. The record is from Rfam.